CAGCCGCCGCGGGAACACGAAGGGGGCUAGCGUUGUUCGGAUUUACUGGGCGUAAAGCGCACGUAGGCGGAUCGAUCAGUUAGGGGUGAAAUCCUGGAGCUCAACUCCAGAACUGCCUUUGAUACUGUCGAUCUCGAGUCCGGAAGAGGUGAGUGGAACUCCUAGUGUAGAGGUGGAAUUCGUAGAUAUUAGGAAGAACACCAGUGGCGAAGGCGGCUCACUGGUCCGGUACUGACGCUGAGGUGCGAAAGCGUGGGGAGCAAACAGGAUUAGAUACCCCAGUAGUCCCUGUCUCUUAUAC
RNAcentral lists this ribosomal RNA (301 nucleotides) under uncultured bacterium. RNAcentral's name for it is "partial 16S ribosomal RNA". It matches the Rfam family "Bacterial small subunit ribosomal RNA", at positions 509 to 807 of the family's 1533-position model. The record is from RNAcentral.